CCCCUAGAUGUUCUGGGCCGCACGCGCGCUACACUGAACAGUUCAACAAGUCUUAACCUUGGCCGAUAGGUCUGGGUAAUCUUUGAACGCUGUUCGUGAUUGGGAUAGACCUUUGCAAUUAUGGGUCUUCAACGAGGAAUUCCUAGUAAACGCAAGUCAUCAGCUUGCAUUGAUUACGUCCCUGCCCUUUGUACACACCGCCCGUCGCACCUACCGAUUGAAUGGUCCGGUGAAAUCUCGGGACGGCGGCUUGGUCGCUUGCGUCCGACUGCUGAAACUUGAUUAAACCAUAUCAUUUAGAGGAAGGUGAAGUCGUAANA
This 320-nucleotide ribosomal RNA is filed under the name uncultured eukaryote. Its description in RNAcentral is "partial 18S ribosomal RNA". It matches the Rfam family "Eukaryotic small subunit ribosomal RNA", at positions 1470 to 1796 of the family's 1831-position model. The record is from RNAcentral.